CAGCAGCCACGGUAAUACGUAGGGCGCAAGCGUUAUCCGGAAUUAUUGGGCGUAAAGAGCUCGUAGGCGGUUUGUCGCGUCUGCCGUGAAAGUCCGGGGCUCAACCCCGGAUCUGCGGUGGGUACGGGCAGACUAGAGUGAUGUAGGGGAGACUGGAAUUCCUGGUGUAGCGGUGAAAUGCGCAGAUAUCAGGAGGAACACCGAUGGCGAAGGCAGGUCUCUGGGCAUUAACUGACGCUGAGGAGCGAAAGCAUGGGGAGCGAACAGGAUUAGAGACCCCCGUAGUCCCUGUCUCUUAUAA
This 301-nucleotide ribosomal RNA is filed under the name uncultured bacterium. Its description in RNAcentral is "partial 16S ribosomal RNA". It matches the Rfam family "Bacterial small subunit ribosomal RNA", at positions 509 to 809 of the family's 1533-position model. The record is from RNAcentral.